UUUCAAAAACAAAAUUCUCAUAUUAGAAUCAUUAAUGUUUUCCCUCAUAACAACUCUUCCCAAACAAAACAUGCAAAUACAAUAACAAUGCCGCAUCUCUCAACAUUACCAAGAACGGCACUCGCCAAGUAAUGUUUACCUAGUACUUGUCUACUCAACCGGCGUGCUUUUAAGGUUCAAUCACAAACAGAGGCGUGUCGACACUGACUGGCUUCCCAUCUUCUGCUACAAUUUCGAUAAUGGUCCCUGACUGAUCAGCUUCUAUUUCAUUCAUCAAUUUCAUGGCCUCAAUGAUGCAUAAGACUUGUCCCUUCUGCACUUUGUCUCCAACCGUCACCAAAGGUGGUUCACCUGGUGCUGGACUUCUGUAGAAUGUGCCAGCCAUAGGGCAUUUAAACGGUGGAAGUGAUGACUUGAGUGAUUUAGCAGCAGAAGGUACAGGUGAUGGGGGUGGAGCAGUGGAAGCCGGACUAGAGGCUGUAGAGAAAGCUGCAGAUGGGGCUGGUGGCAUUAGUGGUGAUGGUGAAGGUGAAGUUGAAGGAGCAUUCGUCAUAACAAAUGGAGCAGGAGACGGUGGCUGAGGCAAGGCCUCCUUUUUCCG
This 601-nucleotide unclassified non-coding RNA is filed under the name Hevea brasiliensis (rubber tree). The record is from RNAcentral. Lineage: Eukaryota; Viridiplantae; Streptophyta; Magnoliopsida; Malpighiales; Euphorbiaceae.